GAGUUUGAUCGUGGCUCAGAUUGAACGCUGGCGGUAUGCUUAACACAUGCAAGUCGAACGGUAACAGGCUAGCUUGCUAGCGCUGACGAGUGGCGGACGGGUGCGUAACGCGUAGGAAUCUGCCUAUUAGUGGGGGACAACCUGGUGAGAACCAGGCUAAUACCGCAUACGCCCUACCGGGGGAAAGGCAGGGGAGUCUUCGGACCUUGCGCUAAUAGAUGAGCCUGCGUUAGAUUAGUCUUGUUGGUGAGGUAAUGG
This 258-nucleotide ribosomal RNA is filed under the name uncultured microorganism. Its description in RNAcentral is "partial 16S ribosomal RNA". It matches the Rfam family "Bacterial small subunit ribosomal RNA", at positions 9 to 263 of the family's 1533-position model. The record is from RNAcentral.